CAAUAGCGUAUACUUAUGUUGCUGCAGUUAAAAAGCUCGUAGUUGGAUUUCUGGUGGGCACGACGGUCAGGCUAUGGCCUCGUACUUGUUGUUGCCCGCCAUCCUCACGGAGAUGCAUGUUGGCAUUAACUUGUCAGUGUGUGGAUCCGUGUCAUUUACUGUGAACAAAUUAGAGUGUUUAAAGCAGGCGUUUUGCUUGAAUACAUUAGCAUGGAAUAAUAAGAUAGGACUUGGGCCUUAUUUUGUUGGUUUGUAGACCCAGGUAAUGAUUAAUAGGGAUAGUUGGGCUCGCCAGUAUUCAGUUGUCAGAGGUGAAAUUCUAGGAUCUACGGAAGACUAGCUGCUGCGAAAGCGUCCGAGAGGGAUGUUUUCAUUAA
This 377-nucleotide ribosomal RNA is filed under the name uncultured eukaryote. Its description in RNAcentral is "partial 18S ribosomal RNA". It matches the Rfam family "Eukaryotic small subunit ribosomal RNA", at positions 592 to 976 of the family's 1831-position model. The record is from RNAcentral.